Non-coding RNA from Labrus bergylta (ballan wrasse), 360 nucleotides. Lineage: Eukaryota; Metazoa; Chordata; Actinopteri; Labriformes; Labridae. The record is from RefSeq and is a predicted model, not a curated record.
GGAAGUUUAACUGGUGAUGAAGGAGUCACUUUGUCCAUCACAGACCUUCAGGUGCAGGUGGAAACAAAAAGGAAUCAGGCAGAGCUGAAGUGUUACAGCAGCUGUAAUGUGGCUGAUAAUCCUUCAUAUGUCUGGUACAGAAAUGGAAAAAAUAUGACUGCAGAGACGUCUUCUAUUAGAGUCUCUGUUCAUGAGAAUAACAAGUAUUCCUGCUCUGUUAAAGGACGAGAGGAUUACCGCUCUCCUGAAGUCUAUGCUCCAAAGCUUCCCUCUGUGUCAGUGAGUCCCUCUGCUGAGAUAGUGGAGGGCAGUUCAGUGACUGUGACCUGUAGCUGUGAUGCUAACCAGCACCUGAAUACA